GAGUAAUACAUCGGAACGUGCCCAGUCGUGGGGGAUAACUACUCGAAAGAGUAGCUAAUACCGCAUACGAUCUGAGGAUGAAAGCGGGGGACCUUCGGGCCUCGCGCGAUUGGAGCGGCCGAUGGCAGAUUAGGUAGUUGGUGGGAUAAAAGCUUACCAAGCCGACGAUCUGUAGCUGGUCUGAGAGGACGACCAGCCACACUGGGACUGAGACACGGCCCAGACUCCUACGGGAGGCAGCAGUGGGGAAUUUUGGACAAUGGGCGAAAGCCUGAUCCAGCAAUGCCGCGUGCAGGAUGAAGGCCUUCGGGUUGUAA
Molecule: ribosomal RNA, 317 nt
Filed under: Delftia sp. MP2-4
Lineage: Bacteria; Pseudomonadati; Pseudomonadota; Betaproteobacteria; Burkholderiales; Comamonadaceae
Description: bacterial SSU rRNA
Rfam family: Bacterial small subunit ribosomal RNA
Source: RNAcentral